RNAcentral lists this ribosomal RNA (242 nucleotides) under uncultured bacterium. RNAcentral's name for it is "partial 16S ribosomal RNA". It matches the Rfam family "Bacterial small subunit ribosomal RNA", at positions 524 to 765 of the family's 1533-position model. The record is from RNAcentral.
UACGAAGGGGGCUAGCGUUGCUCGGAAUUACUGGGCGUAAAGCGCACGUAGGCGGCUUCUUAAGUCGGUGGUGAAAUCCUGGAGCUCAACUCCAGAACUGCCUUCGAUACUGGGAGCUCGAGUCCGGGAGAGGUGAGUGGAACUGCGAGUGUAGAGGUGAAAUUCGUAGAUAUUCGCAAGAACACCAGUGGCGAAGGCGGCUCACUGGCCCGGUACGUGACGCUGAGGUGCGAAAGCGUGGG